Molecule: ribosomal RNA, 482 nt
Filed under: uncultured bacterium
Lineage: Bacteria
Description: bacterial SSU rRNA
Rfam family: Bacterial small subunit ribosomal RNA
Source: RNAcentral
UUGAACGCUGGCGGCAUGCUUUACACAUGCAAGUCGAACGGCAGCGGGGGCUUCGGCCCGCCGGCGAGUGGCGAACGGGUGAGUAAUGCAUCGGAACGUACCCAGUCGUGGGGGAUAACUACGCGAAAGCGUAGCUAAUACCGCAUACGCCCUGAGGGGGAAAGCGGGGGACCUUCGGGCCUCGCGCGAUUGGAGCGGCUGAUGUCGGAUUAGCUAGUUGGUGAGGUAAAGGCUCACCAAGGCGACGAUCAGUAGCUGGUCUGAGAGGAUGAUCAGCCACACUGGAACUGAGACACGGUCCAGACUCCUACGGGAGGCAGCAGUGGGGAAUUUUGGACAAUGGGCGAAAGCCUGAUCCAGCCAUUCCGCGUGAGUGAAGAAGGCCUUCGGGUUGUAAAGCUCUUUCAGGAGGGAAGAAACGGUUGAGGCUAAUAUCCUUGACUAAUGACGGUACCUUCAGAAGAAGCACCGGCUAACUACGU